RNAcentral lists this ribosomal RNA (465 nucleotides) under uncultured Klebsiella sp. RNAcentral describes it as "bacterial SSU rRNA". It matches the Rfam family "Bacterial small subunit ribosomal RNA", at positions 338 to 795 of the family's 1533-position model. The record is from RNAcentral. Lineage: Bacteria; Pseudomonadati; Pseudomonadota; Gammaproteobacteria; Enterobacterales; Enterobacteriaceae.
CCUACGGGAGGCUGCAGUGGGGAAUAUUGCACAAUGGGCGCAAGCCUGAUGCAGCCAUGCCGCGUGUGUGAAGAAGGCCUUCGGGUUGUAAAGCACUUUCAGCGGGGAGGAAGGCGGUGAGGUUAAUAACCUCAUCGAUUGACGUUACCCGCAGAAGAAGCACCGGCUAACUCCGUGCCAGCAGCCGCGGUAAUACGGAGGGUGCAAGCGUUAAUCGGAAUUACUGGGCGUAAGGCGCACGCAGGCGGUCUGUCAAGUCGGAUGUGAAAUCCCCGGGCUCAACCUGGGAACUGCAUUCGAAACUGGCAGGCUAGAGUCUUGUAGAGGGGGGUAGAAUUCCAGGUGUAGCGGUGAAAUGCCUAGAGAUCUGGAGGAAUACCGGUGGCGAAGGCGGCCCCCUGGACAAAGACUGACGCUCAGGUGCGAAAGCGUGGGGAGCAAACAGGAUUAGAUACCCUUGUAGUC